GGUAUUCGUCCGCACACCUGAGGAAAAUGUGUUCAAAUGGAAGCUCGACUGGGUGGGGGUGGAAGUUGGCGCUGAAAGUUGGGCCCGACGACAACCUGCAGCAUCCCUUUGGCAAACGCUGUACUAUACAUAUAUUGUAGUACCAGAUUGCUUCGCCUUUUCUCCAGAAGCAUCCAGUCGGGCGGAAGCUAUCAUCAUCCUGUUGUGCUAGUAAUUGUGUCUUGGGGGAAGGGAAGAUAAGGUCCAUGAGAAGGAUUUUGAACUUCCAGCUCGCCAUCAACAAGAUGAGAGAUGGCAGCGGUCAGAGUUGGCCAGGGGUCGGUAAGUGUCCGAUGGGAAAUCUUUGCCAAUAUGGACCAUCGCUGGCAAAAUAUCGGCCUUCCGGACGAUUCAACCUUCUUCAAAGGUGGAGCUGAGUCAUAAUAGGAAUAGGGCAAUAAAUCAAGCGUGUUUACCGCGUAAGGCACUGCGGAGAAAUCGACAGUUCAUAUUAUUUGGAACACUUGCCCCACCAACCACUACAGUUUUCUCAUUCUCAGCCUGCAUCCUGCAUCGUGCAUCGUGCAUCUCGCAUACUAGUCGUGUAUUAUGGAAAGCCGUAUCGUGGGUAGUUCUUAGAUAUCGCUCGACGCACAAAACCAGUGGCGGCUGAAUCGCUGGCUGAUUUUUAGCGUGAAGGUGGGGAGCGAAAGCGUGGGUCCGUUGUUGACGCCAGCGAAGGACCCCGGAAGCAACAUGCGCAAUCUACACAUGCUAUGGAGUAAUCUGUGCAUUGAAACAAGUUCAACAUCAUGAAGAACUACAAAGGAAAUGAAAAAAUGAAAAAAAAAAAGGAAGCGUAUCCAGACUGUAUCUGUAAUGAUGCCUGUUAUCGGAUUGUGCAGUUUAUUCCACUGCCACCAUGCUGUAACUUAAUCGUGCCCCCGCUUAUUCCCAAUUUCAGGUAACUUUUCCAUAGUUAGGUACAGUGCAUGAAAUAUUUAAGGCUAAGGCUAGAUAUAUUCAAAGUGUACAGAUCUGUAGAGAAUAUGCUGAUACAGACCUUUU
Molecule: small RNA, 1047 nt
Filed under: Histoplasma capsulatum
Lineage: Eukaryota; Fungi; Ascomycota; Eurotiomycetes; Onygenales; Ajellomycetaceae
Description: hypothetical RNA
Source: RNAcentral